UACGGCAUUAUCAGGUUGAGAAACCUGUUCUCGUACGAUCACUGAAGUUAAGCAACGUCUAGUCUGGUCAGUACCUAGAUAGGUGACCGCUCGGGAAUAUCAAAUGCUGUAA
Molecule: non-coding RNA, 112 nt
Organism: Acanthosepion pharaonis
Lineage: Eukaryota; Metazoa; Mollusca; Cephalopoda; Sepiida; Sepiidae
Source: the annotation of a GenBank genome assembly